GCCUUCGUGGGGAAGUGGUCAGCACACUCGGUCCGUAAUCGAGAGGUCCCAGGUUCGACUCUCGGCCAGGGCA
RNAcentral lists this transfer RNA (73 nucleotides) under Stegodyphus mimosarum. It matches the Rfam family "tRNA". Rfam says of the family: Transfer RNA (tRNA) molecules are approximately 80 nucleotides in length. The record is from Rfam by way of RNAcentral. Lineage: Eukaryota; Metazoa; Arthropoda; Arachnida; Araneae; Eresidae.